Molecule: ribosomal RNA, 478 nt
Filed under: Stenotrophomonas maltophilia
Lineage: Bacteria; Pseudomonadati; Pseudomonadota; Gammaproteobacteria; Lysobacterales; Lysobacteraceae
Description: bacterial SSU rRNA
Rfam family: Bacterial small subunit ribosomal RNA
Source: RNAcentral
GAACCUGCGGUAGGCCUAACACAUGCAAGUCGAACGGCAGCACAGGAGAGCUUGCUCUCUGGGUGGCGAGUGGCGGACGGGUGAGGAAUACAUCGGAAUCUACUCUGUCGUGGGGGAUAACGUAGGGAAACUUACGCUAAUACCGCAUACGACCUACGGGUGAAAGCAGGGGAUCUUCGGACCUUGCGCGAUUGAAUGAGCCGAUGUCGGAUUAGCUAGUUGGCGGGGUAAAGGCCCACCAAGGCGACGAUCCGUAGCUGGUCUGAGAGGAUGAUCAGCCACACUGGAACUGAGACACGGUCCAGACUCCUACGGGAGGCAGCAGUGGGGAAUAUUGGACAAUGGGCGCAAGCCUGAUCCAGCCAUACCGCGUGGGUGAAGAAGGCCUUCGGGUUGUAAAGCCCUUUUGUUGGGAAAGAAAUCCAGCCGGCUAAUACCUGGUUGGGAUGACGGUACCCAAAGAAUAAGCACCGGCUAC